Molecule: ribosomal RNA, 460 nt
Filed under: uncultured bacterium
Lineage: Bacteria
Description: partial 16S ribosomal RNA
Rfam family: Bacterial small subunit ribosomal RNA
Source: RNAcentral
CCUACGGGUGGCAGCAGUGAGGAAUAUUGGUCAAUGGACGCGAGUCUGAACCAGCCAAGUAGCGUGAAUGAUGACUGCCCUCUGGGUUGUAAACUUCUUUUAUAUGGGAAUAAAAUGUUCCACGUGUGGGAUUUUGUAUGUACCUUAUGAAUAAGGAUCGGCUAACUCCGUGCCAGCAGCCGCGGUAAUACGGAGGAUCCGAGCGUUAUCCGGAUUUAUUGGGUUUAAAGGGAGCGUAGGUGGUUUGUUAAGUCAGUUGUGAAAGUUUGCGGCUCAACCGUAAAAUUGCAGUUGAAACUGGCAGUCUUGAGUAUAGUAGAGGUGGGCGGAAUUCGUGGUGGAGCGGUGAAAUGCUUAGAUAUCACGAAGAACUCCGAUUGCGAAGGCAGUUCACUGGACUGCAACUGACACUGAGGCGCGAAAGUGUGGGUAUCAAACAGGAUUAGAUACCCCAGUAGUC